UACAUUUAACUGAAGGAUGAGAUAGAGGCACUGAUAUAACAUGGCUAUCUCAAGAAAUUUGUUCAUGAUCAUGAAGUUUAGGUAGUGAUCGACCAGUUAGCUUAGCUACAGGCCAACGAGGGAACGAGUAACAAUUGAUGGCUAGCAUGAUCCUUAUGAUCUCUGGAGGUGCAGAUCUUGGGGAGGUAGAGUGUCUAAAGUGCACCUCGAAGAGGC
Molecule: long non-coding RNA, 216 nt
Filed under: Elaeis guineensis (African oil palm)
Lineage: Eukaryota; Viridiplantae; Streptophyta; Magnoliopsida; Arecales; Arecaceae
Description: long non-coding RNA (EGUI_LNC038916)
Source: RNAcentral